UAUUUAUUUGAGACAGAGUCUCGCUCUGUCGCCCAGGCUGGAGUGCAGUGGCGCGAUUUCGGCUCACUGCAACCUCUGCCUCCCGGGUUCAAGCAGUUCUGCCCCGGCCUCCCGAGUAGCUCGGAUUACAGGCGCCCAACAGCACGCCCGGCUAAUUUUUGUAUUUUUAGUAGAGACGGGGUUUCACCAUGUUGGCCAGGCUGGUCUUGAACUCCUGACCUCGCGAUCCACCCGCCUCGGCCUCCCAAAGUGCUGGGAUUACAGACGUGAGCAACCGCGCCUAGCCUGGAGAAGCAGAUAUUUAUACAUACUCUUGUAUCUUUCAGGCUUCUGGGAACUUGGCAGAUGCAGCUUAGAGAGACUCACCAGCGAGCGUCAUUGUUGUCUUUCUGGGAACUCAUUCCCAUGAGAUCAGAACCUCUUCGAAAAAAGAAGAAGGUAGAUCCUAAAAAAGACCAAGAAGCAAAGGAGCGCUUGAAAAGGAAGAUCCGAAAACUGGAAAAGGCUACUCAAGAGCUAAUUCCUAUUGAAGAUUUUAUUACCCCUCUAAAGUUCUUGGAUAAAGCAAGAGAGCGGCCUCAGGUGGAGCUCACCUUUGAGGAGACUGAGAGGAGAGCUCUGCUUCUGAAGAAGUGGUCCUUGUACAAGCAGCAAGAGCAUAAGAUGGAGAGGGACACCAUCAGGGCUAUGCUAGAAGCCCAGCAGGAAGCUCUGGAGGAACUGCGACUGGAGUCCCCGAAGCUCCAUGCUGAGGCCAUCAAGCGGGAUCCUAACCUGUUCCCCUUUGAGAAGGAAGGGCCACAUUACACACCACCGAUCCCUAACUACCAACCCCCUGAAGGCAGGUACAAUGACAUCACCAAGGUGUACACACAAGUGGAGUUUAAGAGAUAGACUUGGCAGGCUGCUAUCCUUAACAUGCUGCCCCUGAGAGUAGGAAUGA
RNAcentral lists this small RNA (943 nucleotides) under Pan troglodytes (chimpanzee). RNAcentral describes it as "processed transcript". The record is from RNAcentral. Lineage: Eukaryota; Metazoa; Chordata; Mammalia; Primates; Hominidae.